AUUGAACGCUGGCGGCAGGCCUAACACAUGCAAGUCGAACGGUAACAGGAAGCAGCUUGCUGCUUUGCUGACGAGUGGCGGACGGGUGAGUAAUGUCUGGGAAACUGCCUGAUGGAGGGGGAUAACUACUGGAAACGGUAGCUAAUACCGCAUAACGUCGCAAGACCAAAGAGGGGGACCUUCGGGCCUCUUGCCAUCGGAUGUGCCCAGAUGGGAUUAGCUAGUAGGUGGGGUAACGGCUCACCUAGGCGACGAUCCCUAGCUGGUCUGAGAGGAUGACCAGCCACACUGGAACUGAGACACGGUCCAGACUCCUACGGGAGGCAGCAGUGGGGAAUAUUGCACAAUGGGCGCAAGCCUGAUGCAGCCAUGCCGCGUGUAUGAAGAAGGCCUUCGGGUUGUAAAGUACUUUCAGCGGGGAGGAAGGGAGUAAAGUUAAUACCUUUGCUCAUUGACGUUACCCGCAGAAGAAGUACCGGCUAACUCCGUG
This 490-nucleotide ribosomal RNA is filed under the name uncultured bacterium. RNAcentral describes it as "partial 16S ribosomal RNA". It matches the Rfam family "Bacterial small subunit ribosomal RNA", at positions 30 to 507 of the family's 1533-position model. The record is from RNAcentral.